This 235-nucleotide unclassified non-coding RNA is filed under the name uncultured fungus. RNAcentral describes it as "sequence contains ITS1, 5.8S rRNA gene". The stretch from base 187 to 235 matches the Rfam family "5.8S ribosomal RNA", at positions 1 to 49 of the family's 154-position model. Lineage: Eukaryota; Fungi. The record is from RNAcentral.
UCUCCGUUGGUGAACCAGCGGAGGGAUCAUUAAAAGGCGAGUCUCGCGACUCUCAAACCCUAUGUGAACUUAUUCAUGUCUGAGCUGCUUCGGCAGGGCGUUUCGAAAGAAGCACCUGCCGGCCGGCUCGCCAACCAAACUCUUUGUUAAUCUAUGGACCUCUGAGUUAAAAACAAAAUUUAUUAAAACUUUCAACAACGGAUCUCUUGGUUCUGGCAUCGAUGAAGAACGCAGC